GCCCUCUUAACUUAAUCGGGAGAGUGCUCAAUUUAGGUUUGAGAAGUCCGUGUUCGAGCCACGGAGGGGGCA
Non-coding RNA from Polyrhizophydium stewartii, 72 nucleotides. NCBI's taxonomy places the organism in Eukaryota, Fungi, Chytridiomycota, Chytridiomycetes, Rhizophydiales. The record is from the annotation of a GenBank genome assembly.